CCUACGGGGGGCAGCAGUGAGGAAUAUUGGUCAAUGGGCGGGAGCCUGAACCAGCCAAGUCGCGUGAGGGAAGACGGUCCUAUGGAUUGUAAACCUCUUUAGGCGGGGAGCAAUGCCGGGCACGCAUGCCCGUAGGGAGAGUACCCGCAGAAUAAGCAUCGGCUAACUCCGUGCCAGCAGCCGCGGUAAUACGGAGGUUGCGAGCGUUAUCCGGAUUUAUUGGGUUUAAAGGGUGUGUAGGCGGUGUAGCAAGUUAGAAGUGAAAUACCUAGAGCUUAACUCAGGUGCUGCUUCUAAAACUGCUAUACUUGAGUGAAGUAGAGGAAAGUGGAAUUCCUAGUGUAGCGGUGGAAUGCGUAGAUAUUAGGAGGAACAUCAGUGGCGAAGGCGACUUUCUGGACUGUAACUGACGCUGAUGCACGAAAGCGUGGGUAUCAAACAGGAUUAGAUACCCCGGUAGUC
This 462-nucleotide ribosomal RNA is filed under the name uncultured bacterium. RNAcentral's name for it is "partial 16S ribosomal RNA". It matches the Rfam family "Bacterial small subunit ribosomal RNA", at positions 338 to 795 of the family's 1533-position model. The record is from RNAcentral.